AAGUCGUAACAAGGUCUCCGUUGGUGAACCAGCGGAGGGAUCAUUACCGAGUUUCUACUCUAAACCCUGCGAACCUACCAUUACGUGCUUCGGCGGCCAGCCCCGGGGGGGCGCCCUACGGCCGCCGAUAGUACCUAAAAAUCACUUUUCAGAGUCUUCUGAGUGACAAAAAAAAAACAAGUCAAAACCUUCAACAACGGAUCUCUUGGUUCUG
Molecule: unclassified non-coding RNA, 214 nt
Filed under: fungal sp.
Lineage: Eukaryota; Fungi
Description: partial internal transcribed spacer region
Rfam family: Eukaryotic small subunit ribosomal RNA (bases 1-46)
Source: RNAcentral